UACGUAUGGAGCAAGCGUUAUCCGGAUUUACUGGGUGUAAAGGGUGCGUAGGUGGCAGUGCAAGUCAGAUGUGAAAGGUCGGGGCUCAACCCCGGAGUUGCAUUUGAAACUGCUCGGCUAGAGUACAGGAGAGGCAGGCGGAAUUCCUAGUGUAGCGGUGAAAUGCGUAGAUAUUAGGAGGAACACCAGUGGCGAAGGCGGCCUGCUGGACUGUUACUGACACUGAGGCACGAAAGCGUGGGGAGCAAACAGG
Molecule: ribosomal RNA, 253 nt
Filed under: Anaerobutyricum hallii
Lineage: Bacteria; Bacillati; Bacillota; Clostridia; Lachnospirales; Lachnospiraceae
Description: partial 16S ribosomal RNA
Rfam family: Bacterial small subunit ribosomal RNA
Source: RNAcentral